AAGAAUGUGUCACAAGGGCAGAUGAACAGACAGGAAGUGACGCAGAAAUAGUCAACGAAAACUACCGUUAAACAACAUUUUUCCGGAAAAAAGAGUAUCGUAAGCGGCAAAAAGUAAAUUAUAAAAUGACCCCUUUUUAUUUAAUUUUACUGUUUUUUAUUUAUUCCUCUUUAAAAUUAUCUGUUUGAUAUUUUUGUAACAUUUUUGAAAUGGUUAAUAAAAGAGAACUAUGAAAAUCAACUUUCACUUUCACUUAUCUGACGUCAUACAUCGUGAUUUCUCAAUGAUGAAAGAUGAGCAUAGGCCUUGGACAUUUAUCAUCUAUGUACAUUGACCACUGCAUUAAUUUAUGCAAUUUUUGGAGAGGAAUUCAUCAACAAUAACAGUAUAUCACCAGGGUUUAGUCAAUAUCCAGGACUUAUCUCCUAGUGGACAAGACUAUAAAGUUCAAACCAAACAGCAAACCUUGAGUGAAAUGAUAAUAAUGAUGAUCUGGGUGUGAUUGUAACAUAAUAUUAUGCAUAAAGAUGUUCAUUCGUGUUACAAAAAGAUGAACAAGUAGCUACAUUUUAUCUAUAUAUAUUUUUUAU
Saccostrea cuccullata (small rock oyster) is the source of this 590-nucleotide long non-coding RNA. RefSeq lists it as uncharacterized. Lineage: Eukaryota; Metazoa; Mollusca; Bivalvia; Ostreida; Ostreidae. The record is from RefSeq and is a predicted model, not a curated record. The transcript has 2 exons.